This 254-nucleotide ribosomal RNA is filed under the name uncultured bacterium. RNAcentral's name for it is "partial 16S ribosomal RNA". It matches the Rfam family "Bacterial small subunit ribosomal RNA", at positions 524 to 776 of the family's 1533-position model. The record is from RNAcentral.
UACGUAGGGAGCAAGCGUUGUCCGGAUUCAUUGGGCGUAAAGAGCUCGUAGGCGGCUUGGUAAGUCGGAUGUGAAACCUCCAGGCUCAACCUGGAGUCGCCAUCCGAUACUGCCAUGGCUAGAGUCCGGUAGGGGCCCACGGAACUCCUGGUGUAGCGGUGAAAUGCGCAGAUAUCAGGAAGAACACCGGUGGCGAAGGCGGUGGGCUGGGCCGGCACUGACGCUGAGGAGCGAAAGCGUGGGGAGCGAACAGG